Molecule: unclassified non-coding RNA, 161 nt
Filed under: soil metagenome
Description: partial internal transcribed spacer 1
Source: RNAcentral
CAGAGUUGCAAGACUCCCUAAACCAUUGUGAACCUACCUUCUACCGUUGCUUCGGCGGGGCGGGCCCAGCGCCCCCCCCGGCCCCCCGCGGGCGCCCGCCGGAGGAUACCCAAACUCUUGACAUUAGUGGCCUCUCUGAGUAUUCUUUACUGAAUAAGUCA